UUCCCCCGGGGCAUUCCCCGCCGAAGCCUUUCGCGGCGACUUUUAAACAAUCGCGCAGUUCGGGUGGUUUCUUCCACCUGGGCAACGCCGUCACUGUGCUGGAAGUAUGCCUCAUGGCGACAACCAGCGGCCGACUCCCCACCGGGGCGUCGGUUCACAGAUCAAACGAUGGUGGCCGCCCCCAAGGCGGUUUAGAUAUGACCGAGCCCAGCCGUUUGCAUGGCUGCGAUAGCUGUUCCGUAGGUGAACC
This 250-nucleotide unclassified non-coding RNA is filed under the name plant metagenome. RNAcentral describes it as "partial contains small subunit ribosomal RNA, internal transcribed spacer 1, and 5.8S ribosomal RNA". The record is from RNAcentral.